UACGGGGGGAGCAAGCGUUGUUCGGAUUUACUGGGCGUAAAGGGCGCGUAGGCGGUCUUGCAAGUCCUGUGUGAAAUCCCCGGGCUCAACCUGGGAACUGCAUUUGUGACUGCAUGGCUAGAGUGCGGUAGAGGUAGCUGGAAUUCCCGGUGUAGCGGUGAAAUGCGUAGAUAUCGGGAGGAAUACCUAUGGCGAAAGCAGGCUACUGGACCGUCACUGACUCUGAUCUGCGAAAGCUAGGGGAGCAAACAGG
Molecule: ribosomal RNA, 253 nt
Filed under: uncultured bacterium
Lineage: Bacteria
Description: partial 16S ribosomal RNA
Rfam family: Bacterial small subunit ribosomal RNA
Source: RNAcentral